Long non-coding RNA from Nerophis ophidion (straightnose pipefish), 644 nucleotides. RefSeq lists it as uncharacterized. The transcript is spliced from 3 exons. The record is from RefSeq and is a predicted model, not a curated record. Lineage: Eukaryota; Metazoa; Chordata; Actinopteri; Syngnathiformes; Syngnathidae.
GAAAACCUGUGAGCGUGAAAGCGCCUUACUGCCUGCCUGCGAGCAAGAGAUGUGACUGGAUUCUUAAGCAGCUGGGGCGAGGAGUAAGGCCCGCCACACGCACACACGCACGCACGGCUCAUAUCUCAAGCUGGAGCUGCGUGCGCCUCUGCUAGCAGUGCGCCAAGAGAGGCCUCCGCUGACAGUGCACCCAGACAGUGCAGCACGCCCAAGCAGCAACAAGCCUGCAGCCUGUCAAGAAUCAACACACCUGGAUUUGAUGAGAGGGAGCAGCAUAAAAACCAACAGACCCGAGGAACCUUUGCCAAAACGUCGCUAUCUUCUCAUGACUCCCCUGUCUUCCGUGAUCCUACCUUGCCUCUCGACAUCCAUCCGGAUUCCUAACUGCCUUCCUCGAUCCACGACCUCUCUGUUCAGACCCAGACCAUGUGGCCUCGCUCCUGCCCCCGACAUCUUGCCUGCUCACGAACUGCCUCUUCGCCUUGCCCCUCUGGAUUUGACGAAGGAUACAACCAACACUCAUAGACAACAAACCCUGGUAACAUUUACAUUAUUAAUAUUACACAUAGUCAUCACUCAUUCACUUAGAGCGGCAUACACACGCCACGUAUCAUCAAAGGUUUAAAUAAACCUUGUGAACCGCA